UCUCUUCUCUCAGAUUAAACUCACCCAAACGAUUUAACUGCUCAAAUAUAUAAUCAAAAUGUCUCAUCUCUCACCACUAACGGCAACUUCCAGGCUCUUACUAUCGCUCUCCAUCUCACACGCUGCCGCUCUAUCACCUCCUCCAUGCCACACCACAACCACAGCCAGAGCCGUCACAGUCGUCCUACUUCCGGCACUUGCCGGCGUUUUUCUGUGGAAGUUUUCGGAUUUUUGAGGAUGAAUCAAUUGUAUCAUCGGAAGAACGCCUUCGGCGCGCGUGAGGAGACGGGCUGUCUGUCGUUUGUCCGAAGCCACGACGAGUUGGGAUUUUGGCGAACAAUUGUACUAGGCCCUUGAGAUGGCAAUUGAGUCAUCCAGUUGGGGUGUCUGAUUCAAAAGCCGGGGCAGGGCUUCUAGACAUCAUUCUCAUGAAGGUAAUUGGUGAGGCCGAUUUUCAGCGCAAUAGGGAUUUGGAGAAAGUAAUUUUCUUUUUUAUGUGUAUAUUUUUCUUUGUAAUAAACUUCGUUUCAAUUUAUUUGUGCUGGAUUUUGAAAUUUUGUUUGUAUGUUGGAAGUUUUUGGUUGAUUCUGGUCUGUAUGAGAGUGAAGAAGAUGCAAAGAAAAAAGAAGUAAUUUGGCCCUUGAUCGGGUAACUUACCAGUUUAUUUGAGUUGUUUUGUUGUUGGCCCACUUAUGCUCAAAAGACAAAACUCAACUUGGAGAUUUUAUCCGACUGGAUAGGUUUAAUUUAAU
Long non-coding RNA from Pistacia vera, 752 nucleotides. RefSeq lists it as uncharacterized. Lineage: Eukaryota; Viridiplantae; Streptophyta; Magnoliopsida; Sapindales; Anacardiaceae. The record is from RefSeq and is a predicted model, not a curated record. The transcript has 4 exons.